UACGUAGGGUGCGAGCGUUGUCCGGAAUUAUUGGGCGUAAAGAGCUCGUAGGCGGUGUGUCACGUCGGCCGUGAAAACCUGCAGCUUAACUGUGGGCGUGCGGUCGAUACGGGCAUCACUGGAGUUCGGCAGGGGAGACUGGAAUUUCUGGUGUAGCGGUGAAAUGCGCAGAUAUCAGGAGGAACACCGGUGGCGAAGGCGGGUCUCUGGGCCGAUACUGACGCUGAGGAGCGAAAGCGUGGGGAGCAAACAGG
This 254-nucleotide ribosomal RNA is filed under the name uncultured bacterium. Its description in RNAcentral is "partial 16S ribosomal RNA". It matches the Rfam family "Bacterial small subunit ribosomal RNA", at positions 524 to 776 of the family's 1533-position model. The record is from RNAcentral.